CUUCCGGGGGCUCUUUAUCUACUUUAUUAUUUGUAAAAGCUUUGGAGAGAUGCAGACGGGGACACAGGGAGACGGCGCUGCCAGCGGGGCUGGAGAAAGUGCAGCAGAGCGGCAGCUGAGCCACAGGCUGAAGGAUUUAGGGGCUCCCAGGGCCCGCGGCAUAAUCGGGUUUGGCAACCUCAGCCCCGGGCUGCACCGGGGGCCUUGCAGUCCCGUGCAGGACCUGGCGGGCAGCAGCUGCGGCCGUGUCCCGGGAGGCUGGACACCCGCAUGUGUCCUAGCCCUCCGCACCCACGCUGGCCCUUGGAUGGGUGCUGUCCUCUGGAUCCUGGCUGGCUCUCCGAGCACACGCGGUCCCUCUGGCUGCAUGCUGUUCCCUGGAUGCACGCUGUCUGCCUGGAUGCAGGCUGUCCCUGUGGACAUAUGCUGUCCCUCCAGAUACAUGCUGUCCCCCGGAUGCAGGCUGUGCCCCCAGACACAUGCUGGCCCUCCAGACACGUGUUGUUCCCUGGAUGCAUGCAGUCCCUCCGGAUGCAUGUGGUCCCUCCGGACACAUGCGGUCCCUCCCCCUCCAGACACAUACUGUUCCCCUGCAUCAUGCUGUCCCUCCGGACACAUGCUGUCCCCUGGUUGUAUACAGUUCCUCCAGACACAUGCUGUCCCCCCAGAUACCUGCUGUCCUUUGGGAUGCAUGCAGUCCCUCUGGAUGCAUGCUGUUCCCCCAGAUGCACACUGUCCUUCUGGAGGUGGUCUGUCCAGAAGCAUCCCUCCAGACACAUGCAGUCCCUCCAGAGGCACGUGGUCCCUCCAGACGUGUGCGGUCCCUCCGGACACAUGCCGUGUCCCUGGCCGUAUUCUGCCUCUCGUCCCACCGAGCAUGCAGAAGGCGUGCUGUGCCUGCUGCGGGCAGGACCCUGCUUGCACGAGCAGCGAGGCUGGGUGCAUGCCCAGCCUGAGCGGGUGAGCGGGGCAGAGCCCGUCCCUUUUGCAACCAGGCUGGAAAUGCCAGCGGCAGCCANNNNNNNNNNNNNNNNNNNGGAAUGCCAUCCUGGCCUUUGGCCGGGGCUUACCGAGACCUUGGGCACAGCCUGUCCUGCAGCAAGAGCUGCUGAGGCUGGCUCAUCCUGCAGCAGGCUGAACCCAAACCCUCUCCGGAGAGCAUCCCCUCUCGGAGCAGAGCAAGGAGGAGGGCAGCUCUCCCUCCCUGCUUCCCAGCAGGAAGGGGCACCUUCAUGGGGCACCUGGGUGAAAGCAGUUGCAUCCUUUUUUUUUUUUUGGCCUGGGUUCCCAUGUGCAAACCGGGGCCGCGCAGCACUCUCCUCCCUUGGCGGAGGCGGCAGCAUCGGCAGACGGUGCCGCGACGAGUUCCCGGCCUNNNNNNNNNNNNNNNNNNNNNNNNNNNNNNNNNNNNNNNNNNNNNNNNNNNNNNNNAAAAAAUGAGAAGGGUUCCUAGUCUGAGCAUUAAAAGAAAAAAAAACCUCAGAAAUCCAUGUUCUGCUGAGAAAUGGCUAUUUCUCUAGAAAC
This 1524-nucleotide long non-coding RNA is filed under the name Struthio camelus australis. RNAcentral's name for it is "lncRNA (ENSSCUG00000002307.1)". The record is from RNAcentral. Lineage: Eukaryota; Metazoa; Chordata; Aves; Struthioniformes; Struthionidae.